AAUUCCUAAAACCACAAGAUUUUACGGUGAUUAAAUUUCUUGUUGUGUGAUCAAAACGUUUAUGGCUUUAAACCGCAUAACUUGCACAAUUCGCCUGAAAGUGUACCCCAGCAGCAGUGGACAUUUUGCUCAAAGGAGCACUAAAACUAAAUAUAAAUAUGUACACAUGUAUGUACAUUAUAUGUAUUGUCUAAUGUACCACAGAGCGCAUAAUAUUAGCCGUCUCAAUUUUGCAAAUCAAAGCGCUUUUCUAGUUUCCAUUAUUGGUUCUAUUAAUACAACAGCAAAAGCAACAAAAAGCACUCCGCGGAUGGAAACUGAUGUGCUUAAUA
This 332-nucleotide long non-coding RNA is filed under the name Drosophila guanche. The record is from RNAcentral. Lineage: Eukaryota; Metazoa; Arthropoda; Insecta; Diptera; Drosophilidae.